RNAcentral lists this ribosomal RNA (465 nucleotides) under Vreelandella stevensii. Its description in RNAcentral is "partial 16S ribosomal RNA". It matches the Rfam family "Bacterial small subunit ribosomal RNA", at positions 338 to 795 of the family's 1533-position model. Lineage: Bacteria; Pseudomonadati; Pseudomonadota; Gammaproteobacteria; Oceanospirillales; Halomonadaceae. The record is from RNAcentral.
CCUACGGGCGGCUGCAGUGGGGAAUAUUGGACAAUGGGGGCAACCCUGAUCCAGCCAUGCCGCGUGUGUGAAGAAGGCCCUCGGGUUGUAAAGCACUUUCAGUGAGGAAGAACGCCUGGUGGUUAAUACCCAUCAGGAAAGACAUCACUCACAGAAGAAGCACCGGCUAACUCCGUGCCAGCAGCCGCGGUAAUACGGAGGGUGCGAGCGUUAAUCGGAAUUACUGGGCGUAAAGCGCGCGUAGGUGGCUUGAUAAGCCGGUUGUGAAAGCCCCGGGCUCAACCUGGGAACGGCAUCCGGAACUGUCAAGCUAGAGUGCAGGGGAGGAAGGUAGAAUUCCCGGUGUAGCGGUGAAAUGCGUAGAGAUCGGGAGGAAUACCAGUGGCGAAGGCGGCCUUCUGGACUGACACUGACACUGAGGUGCGAAAGCGUGGGUAGCAAACAGGAUUAGAUACCCCAGUAGUC